Molecule: ribosomal RNA, 225 nt
Filed under: uncultured bacterium
Lineage: Bacteria
Description: partial 16S ribosomal RNA
Rfam family: Bacterial small subunit ribosomal RNA
Source: RNAcentral
UGAGCAAUCUGCCCUUCUCAUCGGAAUAAGCGUUGGAAACGACGUCUAAUGCCGAAUACGACCUCCUUUCGCAUGAUCGGAGGUGGAAAGCUCCGGCGGAGAAGGAUGAGCUCGCGGCCUAUCAGCUAGUUGGUGAGGUAACGGCUCACCAAGGCAACGNUGCGUAGCCGACUGAGAGGGUNAUCGGCCACAUUGGAACUGAGACACGGUCCAGAUCCGUACGGG